AAUCCCAAUGUCCGCCACUAGACAUCAUUUUACCCGAGAAUCAUACUGGGGCUUAGAUCAUUCAUCCGACCUUCAAAUUGGGUGCCGUUUGUUCCUACUCCUUUCUCUUGACUUCCUUCACACCUCCAUGAAGUUUCAUCCCAUUCCCAUACACAUGGAAUGAGUUAUGGCCUUCGGACCAAUCAGCAAAUUACGACAAUG
RNAcentral lists this long non-coding RNA (201 nucleotides) under Capsicum annuum. RNAcentral's name for it is "long non-coding RNA (CANN_LNC011313)". The record is from RNAcentral. Lineage: Eukaryota; Viridiplantae; Streptophyta; Magnoliopsida; Solanales; Solanaceae.